AGCGAACGCUGGCGGCAUGCCUAACACAUGCAAGUCGAACGAAGGCUUCGGCCUUAGUGGCGCACGGGUGCGUAACGCGUGGGAAUCUGCCCUUUGGUUCGGAAUAACAGCUGGAAACGGCUGCUAAUACCGGAUGAUGACGAAAGUCCAAAGAUUUAUCGCCAGAGGAUGAGCCCGCGUUGGUUUAGGUAGUUGGUGGGGUAAAGGCCUACCAAGCCGACGAUCCAUAGCUGGUCUGAGAGGAUGAUCAGCCACACUGGGACCGAGACACGGCCCAGACUCCUACGGGAGGCAGCAGUGGGGAAUAUUGGACAAUGGGCGCAAGCCUGAUCCAGCAAUGCCGCGUGAGUGAUGAAGGCCCUAGGGUUGUAAAGCUCUUUUACCCGGGAAGAUAAUGACUGUACCGGGAGAAUAAGCCCCGGCUAACUCCGUG
This 433-nucleotide ribosomal RNA is filed under the name uncultured bacterium. RNAcentral describes it as "partial 16S ribosomal RNA". It matches the Rfam family "Bacterial small subunit ribosomal RNA", at positions 29 to 507 of the family's 1533-position model. The record is from RNAcentral.